GAUCAAGCAAGGGGGUGUCCAAGUUAGGAACAAUAAGCAACAAGGGUACUGUUUCGGUUUUGUUGAAUUUCUCUCGGUGAGCUCCAUGAAUGAUGCGAUUCAGGCUUCACCGAUUUCAAUCGGAGGGCGUCAAGCUGUCGUCGAGAUAAAGAGAACUUCAACUAGAGUUGUUAAUGGAAGAGGUAGUUUCCCUUCCCGAAGAGGAACGUUUCGAAACGACAGCUUCAGGGGACGAAACUACAGUGGUAACCGAAGCUUUGGAUGAAAUGAAUAUGGAAACCAAGUCGAAUUCUCCGGUCGACCUAGGGGGGGUUCGGCAGGGCGUGAUGGGAGAGGAAGAGGGAGAGGUAACCUUUCAAGUCGUCCGAACCAGAACUCGGCUUCUACUUGAAACUCCCGUAAGAGUAAGC
Molecule: long non-coding RNA, 410 nt
Organism: Hibiscus syriacus
Lineage: Eukaryota; Viridiplantae; Streptophyta; Magnoliopsida; Malvales; Malvaceae
Exons: 4
Source: RefSeq, a predicted model, not a curated record